RNAcentral lists this ribosomal RNA (430 nucleotides) under bacterium. RNAcentral's name for it is "partial 16S ribosomal RNA". It matches the Rfam family "Bacterial small subunit ribosomal RNA", at positions 355 to 776 of the family's 1533-position model. The record is from RNAcentral.
UGGGGAAUAUUGGACAAUGGGCGCAAGCCUGAUCCAGCCAUGCCGCGUGUGUGAAGAAGGCCUUUUGGUUGUAAAGCACUUUAAGCGAGGAGGAGGCUACUUGGAUUAAUACUCUAAGAUAGUGGACGUUACUCGCAGAAUAAGCACCGGCUAACUCUGUGCCAGCAGCCGCGGUAAUACAGAGGGUGCGAGCGUUAAUCGGAUUUACUGGGCGUAAAGCGUGCGUAGGCGGCUUCUUAAGUCGGAUGUGAAAUCCCUGAGCUUAACUUAGGAAUUGCAUUCGAUACUGGGAAGCUAGAGUAUGGGAGAGGAUGGUAGAAUUCCAGGUGUAGCGGUGAAAUGCGUAGAGAUCUGGAGGAAUACCGAUGGCGAAGGCAGCCAUCUGGCUUAAUACUGACGCUGAGGUACGAAAGCAUGGGGAGCAAACAGG